Canis lupus familiaris (dog) is the source of this 89-nucleotide non-coding RNA. Lineage: Eukaryota; Metazoa; Chordata; Mammalia; Carnivora; Canidae. The record is from Rfam.
CGGGGGAGGCGGGAUCCUGGGCUGUGUCCCAGCGCCCUGUGCUCCGGGGCCUGCGCUGUUGGAUUCGUGCUCCCGCCCCGCAGCCCCCU